Long non-coding RNA from Hydra vulgaris (swiftwater hydra), 1534 nucleotides. RefSeq lists it as uncharacterized. NCBI's taxonomy places the organism in Eukaryota, Metazoa, Cnidaria, Hydrozoa, Anthoathecata, Hydridae. The record is from RefSeq and is a predicted model, not a curated record.
UCUUGGAAUAAAUAUUAGCAUGAGGAUGUAGAAGUUUCCUCACAGCUCAAAAUUGUUGUCAGGGCUCUUAAUUUGUUGGAAGCCACUGUUCCACGGCACGCUCUUCUGAUGCCUAAAUUCAGGCCUGUAAAUAGUCUAUGUUAUAACAUACUAUAUGUAAACUAAUCCUCUGUGUAAAAGACCUGUUUUAUACAAAGUUAUAAAAUUUUUGCUAAAGUCGUAGUUAUUGUAUACAUAUAAUGGAAUUUCUGAUGUUUGAGCACUUAAAAUUGGUAACAAUAGUUUGCAACAUAAAUCUGGUGAAAGUAUGGCAAAAAUGGGUUCACUGACCGAAAUUCUCAAGCCUGGGUAUUAACAGCUGUGUCAGUUUUUUAUAGCUUUUAUAUCCUUGCAGUUCUGUAAACCAAAAGGAAACUACUUCGUUUCUUCUAUAAUAUUUAACCAUUCAAAUUAAACUAAGCUCGCUUCAGCAAUGAAAUUCAAUAAUUAGAAAAAAAAAAGACUAAAAAUUUGUAUGGGCUCAACUUAAUAUUAAAUUAAAUAUAACAAUUUACAAGUACUAAAGAGAAUCGUUAAAGAGUAUAAAAAUUAUAUAAAAGUAUACAAAAAGUGUUUGAAAAAAGAUACGACUCCAUAAAUUACGGUAAAUUCAUACUUCAUUUUUAUAAAUGGAUAUAUAACUAUGUAUUAUAUAUUAUUAUGUAUACUAAUAAAAAUAAACUGUUGAUUUAAAAGCUUUCAUUUGAAUUCCAACUAAAUAAAGGUUGAUAACUGUUUCUAAAUUGCUUGAACGCAAUAAGCAAAUUUUACUUAUAAACCGAUCACUAAGAAAAAACGUUACUUACAAUUAUCGUUAAUGUAAAUUGCUUUUAACUAAAAUACUUUAUAGCUUUAUUAAAUAAUUUGUUUCGCUGCUGGUAUACGUAAACACUGCACGAGUGGAAUAAGUUUAUUGACCAACAUAAUUAUCUUUGUAACAAAACUUGAAGCAAAUAUUAACCUCUUAAUUUUUGAUAAAUUUUGUGCUUGCAACAUGCCUGCAAUAUGCCAGCAACUAAUCUUAUUCACAAAGUUGUUGCACAUACGCGUCUCUUUUUAAAUCGGUGACAAUUUGAACUAUUAAUCUUCUAUCACCAUAACAAAGUUCAGAAAUAGCGUUUCUUCGCUGAAAUUGUCUAUCAACAAUGUCGGAUGUAAAAGCUUUAGAUGACUUGGAUUGCUCAAUUUCAUGUUCAAAUUCUUCAAUGCUGCUCUUUUCUUUUGCUUCUUCUAACGUCGUGUAAUUUACCUUUUUACUAAAAGGAGAAUGAACAUGUUUUUUUUUUUUCUUUUCUUGUAACACGACUGCAUGAAUUGAAUUUUCAAUAAUAUUAUUAAAAGUCAUUUUAAAUUUUGUGUCAACUAAUUUUUGACAACCAAGUACGCUCGUGUUUAAAAAUGUGGAAACUUGAAAAUAUCGAUAAAAACUGCUCUAAUUAAAGGAUUAGCUCUUUACUUUAAGCCGCACAUAAUCUUUUUUUUUUUUUUUUUUUUU